This 905-nucleotide ribosomal RNA is filed under the name Phaeosphaeria epicalamia. RNAcentral describes it as "partial large subunit ribosomal RNA". It matches the Rfam family "Eukaryotic large subunit ribosomal RNA", at positions 36 to 959 of the family's 3401-position model. The record is from RNAcentral. Lineage: Eukaryota; Fungi; Ascomycota; Dothideomycetes; Pleosporales; Phaeosphaeriaceae.
AAGCAUAUCAAUAAGCGGAGGAAAAGAAACCAACAGGGAUUGCCCUAGUAACGGCGAGUGAAGCGGCAACAGCUCAAAUUUGAAAUCUGGCUCUUUUAGAGUCCGAGUUGUAAUUUGCAGAGGGCGCUUUGGCGUUGGCAGCGGUCCAAGUUCUUUGGAACAGGACGUCACAGAGGGUGAGAAUCCCGUACGUGGUCGCUAGCCUUCGCCGUGUAAAGCCCCUUCGACGAGUCGAGUUGUUUGGGAAUGCAGCUCUAAAUGGGAGGUAAAUUUCUUCUAAAGCUAAAUACUGGCCAGAGACCGAUAGCGCACAAGUAGAGUGAUCGAAAGAUGAAAAGCACUUUGGAAAGAGAGUCAAAUAGCACGUGAAAUUGUUGAAAGGGAAGCGCUUGCAGCCAGACUUGCCUGUAGUUGCUUAUCCGGACUUUUGUCCGGUGCACUCUUCUGCGGGCAGGCCAGCAUCAGUUUAGGCGGUUGGAUAAAGGUCUCUAUCACGUACCUCCCUUCGGGGUUGGCCUUAUAGGGGAGACGACAUGCAACCAGCCUGAACUGAGGUCCGCGCAUCUGCUAGGAUGCUGGCGUAAUGGCUGUAAGCGGCCCGUCUUGAAACACGGACCAAGGAGUCUAACAUCUAUGCGAGUGUUUGGGUGUCAAGCCCAGACGCGUAAUGAAAGUGAACGGAGGUGGGAACCUUUUAGGUGCACCAUCGACCGAUCCUGAUGUCUUCGGAUGGAUUUGAGUAAGAGCAUGGCUGUUGGGACCCGAAAGAUGGUGAACUAUGCUUGAAUAGGGUGAAGCCAGAGGAAACUCUGGUGGAGGCUCGCAGCGGUUCUGACGUGCAAAUCGAUCGUCAAAUUUGGGCAUAGGGGCGAAAGACUAAUCGAACUAUCUAGUAGCUGGUUCCU